GUUUAUCUUUUGUUCCUCUGGGAGAGCUGUCUAAAGCAAGGCAAACACAUGCACAGGAACUGAGCAUUCUGGCCAAACACAAAUACCUGCACAGCCCUCCGCUCCGUCUAAUGGCUUCUUCCGGAAAGUAUUCCAGAGUUCAACAGGAGCGACCUCUGACGGCGAAUGUUCGACAUUGCCCUCAACACCAGCUGGAGUGGAUAUGAGGAGACGACGAGAGCAAGGACUGGCCUGAGGUUUGAGCCUGGUCAGCAAUGAACUACAGCAGCGACAGCGCCGACCCAGACUCUAGCCACGCCGACGACGACCUCUGCCACGCGGCAGACAAGGUCGUCAAAUGGAUGUGGUCCACCAUCGCUCCCUUCAUCAUCAUCAUCGGGUUGCUAGGCAACCUCCUCGUCAUCAUCGUCUUCGAGCGCCUGCACUUCCGGAAGUCGAGCACCCUGCUGCACAUGUUCGUGCUGGCCUUCAACGACAGCGUCAUCCUGUGUCUGGGUCCCGUGAGAUACUGGACUAAGGAGGUCUUCCAGUUCGACCUGGCCACCAUCUCCGACUUCGGAUGCAGGCUGAACUUCUUCGUCCUCUACACCUCUCUGGAUUUCUCGGCGUGGAUUUUGGUGUCCGUGUCCGUGGAGAGGGUCGUCAGUGUUCACAAACCACUCCACGCGCGGAUAUGGUUCACCGUGAACCGAGCGCUGAUACGACUGGUGAUCAUAUUUGUGUUGCUGUGUGGCAUCAACAUGCAUUUCUUUUUCACCAACGGACUGGUCUCAAGUUUCAAUUCCACCUCUUCCGACAACAACACCGGAAUCAACACAACAACAACAGCAACAACAGACGAUUCACAGAGGUGUGAUUCUCUACCAGAGUUCUCCGUGUUCAAUAAUUACUACUUCGUGUGGAUCGACCUCUUCUUCGAUUCCCUUUUUCCGUUUGUAUUGAUGGCCUUGUCAAACUGCUUUAUCGUUAAAUCUUUACGCGAAUCAAAAAGAAACCGCCCUCGGACGACGACUAGACGAGCCCUGCAGCAGCACAUCGGUCGGGGUCACAGGGUCGAGGAGACAUCCAUGUCUCAGGAUGGGUUCGAGUCGGAGGAUCAAGCGGUGCCUCAGCCCAACGGACACGCAGUCGGUGAAGUGUACGAGUCCGGGGCUUAUGAACAGUCCAGGUCCUCGGAUGGCGACGACGCUUUUGAAAACGAGAGAGAGGCAGUGACCUCUGACGUCAGAGGCUCGGAGGGCGUGAGUAGUAGUGGUCAUUCUGCAGCACCGGAACAAACUCUGGAGGAUGCUCUGUCAAGAGGAGGUAAUCACAUCCGCAUGGAGGCCGACGUCCAUGCGAGAAACGACAUGGUUCUUGACAGGGGAGGCGACUUGCAUACAGGAAGGCCGACAACCAAUGUCAGACUGACUAGGCAGCAUGAGCCACUCGCGAAGCCCGUGCCAGUCAUCUCGUGGGGCGUGACCCGGAUGCUGGUGUUGGUCACGACAAUAUUUUUGGUGACGACGCUGCCAAACUCUAUUUACUACAUCAUCGACACUUUCCUGUACGACUACAGCGCCACCUGCUCCCGCACCAACGCCAUCAUGAACAUGGUGAAGGUGGUGACCAACCUCCUGCAGUACAGCAACUACGGCAUCAACUUCUGGCUGUACUCGUCGCGCAGCAACCGCUUCCGCAUGGAAGUCAAGUACAUGCUAGGAAUGGUGGGCAGCAGGUGAAGAAAGUUGUUAUUACACGCACUCACUGACACACAGACAGAGAGACAGAUAAAGAGAGAGAGAGACAGAAAGACAGAAAGACAAAAGUGGACAGAUGGACGCCAGGACGAUUAAGGAAAGGAAAAAUAAAGGAAAGAAACAGGCAGUUAGCUAAGUCACUGUGACGAAUAGAGAUGAAAAUCAAAGAAAAGGAGAAAAAGAAAGUGAUUGGUAAAUUCAGGCAGGAGUAGGUUUGUUUAUCUACGGCUCGACACAUUGCAUCCACAACCAACAAUCAUUCGUCCAAAGACGGACAACGCACACGUCCGUCUCUUGCGACGGUGUAGUGUACGAGGAUAUCUUUGCCAGAAGUCAGCUAGAAGUUCCGACGUCACUUCAAGUCCUCAAUACUCAGCGGCACGGCCAGCGCCCCCCACUUCCGGUCUCAACUGAGACAGGAGGCCAGCGGGUCGGACCGACAGACCAGCUCGGUCAAGUCUAAGGGCUCAACCAAAGACAGG
RNAcentral lists this unclassified non-coding RNA (2221 nucleotides) under Pomacea canaliculata. Its description in RNAcentral is "uncharacterized LOC112560191, transcript variant X3". The record is from RNAcentral. Lineage: Eukaryota; Metazoa; Mollusca; Gastropoda; Architaenioglossa; Ampullariidae.